This 318-nucleotide unclassified non-coding RNA is filed under the name Hevea brasiliensis (rubber tree). The record is from RNAcentral. Lineage: Eukaryota; Viridiplantae; Streptophyta; Magnoliopsida; Malpighiales; Euphorbiaceae.
AUCUAUUUUCUUUUAUUCUGUACUGCAUAUUCAUAUAAUAUUUCAUUGUUUUGAUCCUUAGCAUCAUAUGAUGGCGGAACAGACUCCGGCUACUGGAAUGUAUCUUUAUGGCGACCUUGACUUGAAGAUCAUUGAAGCUCGGCGGGUGCCAACAUGGAUUUGUUGUCGGAGCGUAUUCGCCGGUGUUUUAGUCCCUUUGACAAUUGCCGGAAGCCUUUCGUUAGAGAUAACAAGCCCCCACACCAGCAUAGAAUUAUUACCAGUGACCCUUACGUUACGGUUUGCCUUGCGGGAGCCACGGUGGCUCGUACGCGCGUC